RNAcentral lists this ribosomal RNA (871 nucleotides) under uncultured archaeon. RNAcentral describes it as "bacterial SSU rRNA". It matches the Rfam family "Archaeal small subunit ribosomal RNA", at positions 21 to 903 of the family's 1478-position model. The record is from RNAcentral.
CCUGACUGCUAUCGGAUUGAUACUAASCCAUGCKAGUCGKUGUASCAAUACAAGGCAKACGGCUCAGUAACACGUARUCAACCUACCCUAUGGUCGGGGAUAAUCUCGGGAAACUGAGCAUAAUACCCGAUAGGUCAUAAUGCCUGGAAUGGUUUAUGGCCCAAAUGAUUUAUCGCCAUAGGAUGGGACUGCGGUCUAUCAGCUUGUUGGUGAGGUAAUGGCCCACCAAGGCAAUAACAGAUACGGGCUCUGAGAGGAGAAGCCCGGAGAUGGGUACUGAGACACGGACCCAGGCCCUAUGGGGCGCAGCASGCGAGAAAACUUUGCAAUGUGCGAAAGCACGACAAGGUUAAUCCGAGCGUUUCCUGCUAAAGGAAUCUUUUGUCGAUCCUAAAAACACCGAUGAAUAAGGGGUGGGCAAGUUCUGGUGUCAGCCGCCGCGGUAAAACCAGCACCUCAAGUAGUCAGGAGGAUUAUUGGGCCUAAAGCAUCCGUAGCCGGCUGUGUUAGUCUCCGGUUAAAUCCAUAUGCUUAACAUAUGGGCUGCCGGAGAUACUGCACAGCUAGGGAGUGGGAGAGGUAGACGGUACUUGGUAGGAAGGGGUAAAAUCCUUUAAUCUACUGAUGACCACCUGUGGCGAAGGCGGUCUACUAKAACACGUCCGACGGUGAGGGAUGAAAGCUGGGGAGCAAACCGGAUUASAUACCCGGGUAGUCCCAGCUGUAAACAAUGCAAACUCAGUGAUGCGCUGGCUUGUGGCCAGCGCAGUGCCGCAGGGAAGCCGCUAAGYUUGCCGCCUGGGAAGUACGUACGCAAGUAUGAWACUUAAGGAAUUGGCGGKGGAGCACCACAGGGUGAAGCCUGCGGUUC